GGGACACGUGGUAUCCUGUCUGAAUAUGGGGGGACCAUCCUCCAAGGCUAAAUACUCCUGACUGACCGAUAGUGAACCAGUACCGUGAGGGAAAGGCGAAAAGAACCCCGGCGAGGGGAGUGAAAAAGAACCUGAAACCGUGUACGUACAAGCAGUGGGAGCCUCUUUUAUGGGGUGACUGCGUACCUUUUGUAUAAUGGGUCAGCGACUUAUAUUCUGUAGCAAGGUUAACCGAAUAGGGGAGCCGAAGGGAAACCGAGUCUUAACUGGGCGUUAAGUUGCAGGGUAUAGACCCGAAACCCGGUGAUCUAGCCAUGGGCAGGUUGAAGGUUGGGUAACACUAACUGGAGGACCGAACCGACUAAUGUUGAAAAAUUAGCGGAUGACUUGUGGCUGGGGGUGAAAGGCCAAUCAAACCGGGAGAUAGCUGGUUCUCCCCGAAAGCUAUUUAGGUAGCGCCUCGUGAAUUCAUCUCCGGGGGUAGAGCACUGUUUCGGCAAGGGGGUCAUCCCGACUUACCAACCCGAUGCAAACUGCGAAUACCGGAGAAUGUUAUCACGGGAGACACACGGCGGGUGCUAACGUCCGUCGUGAAGAGGGAAACAACCCAGACCGCCAGCUAAGGUCCCAAAGUCAUGGUUAAGUGGGAAACGAUGUGGGAAGGCCCAGACAGCCAGGAUGUUGGCUUAGAAGCAGCCAUCAUUUAAAGAAAGCGUA
This 717-nucleotide ribosomal RNA is filed under the name Escherichia coli. Its description in RNAcentral is "partial 23S ribosomal RNA". It matches the Rfam family "Bacterial large subunit ribosomal RNA", at positions 419 to 1136 of the family's 2925-position model. The record is from RNAcentral. Lineage: Bacteria; Pseudomonadati; Pseudomonadota; Gammaproteobacteria; Enterobacterales; Enterobacteriaceae.